GGAGUUAGCCGGUGCUUCUUCUGUGAGUGAUGUCCUUCCUGCCGGCUAUUAACCCGCAGGCCUUCUUCCUCACUGAAAGUGCUUUACAACCCGAAGGCCUUCUUCACACACGCGGCAUGGCUGGAUCAGGGUUGCCCCCAUUGUCCAAUAUUCCCCACUGCUGCCUCCCGUAGGAGUCUGGGCCGUGUCUCAGUCCCAGUGUGGCUGAUCAUCCUCUCAGACCAGCUACGGAUCGUCGCCUUGGUGAGCCGUUACCUCACCAACCAGCUAAUCCGACAUAGGCUCAUCCGAUAGCGCGAGGCCCGAAGGUCCCCCGCUUUCCCCCGUAGGGCGUAUGCGGUAUUAGCCUGGGUUUCCCCCAGGUUAUCCCCCACUACCGGGCAGAUUCCUAUGCAUUACUCACCCGUCCGCCGCUCGCCACCAGGGAGCAAGCUCCCCGUGCUGCCGCUCGACUUGCAUGUGUUAGGCCUGCCGCCAGCGUUCAAUCUGAGCANGAUACAACUACUGA
This 508-nucleotide ribosomal RNA is filed under the name uncultured bacterium. RNAcentral's name for it is "partial 16S ribosomal RNA". The record is from RNAcentral.